AUACGAAGGGGGCUAGCGUUGUUCGGAAUUACUGGGCGUAAAGCGCGCGUAGGCGGAUUGGUCAGUUAGGGGUGAAAUCCCAGGGCUUAACCCUGGAACUGCCUCUAAUACUGCCAGUCUUGAGUUCGAGAGAGGUGAGUGGAAUUCCUAGUGUAGAGGUGAAAUUCGUAGAUAUUAGGAAGAACACCAGUGGCGAAGGCGGCUCACUGGCCCGAUACUGACGCUGAGGCGCGAAAGCGUGGGGAGCAAACAGUAUUAGAAACCCUUGUAGUCC
Molecule: ribosomal RNA, 274 nt
Filed under: uncultured bacterium
Lineage: Bacteria
Description: partial 16S ribosomal RNA
Rfam family: Bacterial small subunit ribosomal RNA
Source: RNAcentral